Molecule: long non-coding RNA, 1304 nt
Filed under: Mytilus galloprovincialis (Mediterranean mussel)
Lineage: Eukaryota; Metazoa; Mollusca; Bivalvia; Mytilida; Mytilidae
Source: RNAcentral
CAAUUUUGUUAAUUUAAGCUAAUAAACAUUGAUAAUGAAUUAUUCACUUGCAAGAGAAUAAUUCGACCUCAUUAAAUCCAUAUUCAUGUCAACUCCAAUUUAACCCUGUAGAAAGUGAUGAAAUAAAGCAUGCAUUGUCCGUGUAUGGGUAUUUAAAGGAAAAGAAUUCAACAUUGAAAGUGAAACAAAGGUAAAUAAUUUGUAUAACUGAUUCGAUCCACACAAAAUCAUUCUUAUAAAGGUAAAAACGAUGAUAAAAAUAAAUUUUUAAUCUAUAACACAAAAUUUAACAAACCUAUAAAAAUCCAAUUGCACGAGUUGCUUAAUCUAUUUAUAUCUAUGUUCAUGUUUACAUCGCUUAUAUGGUCAUAGAAGGUCAACUUGAUAGUUAAUUAGAUGGUGUCUUGGCUAAAUUUCACAUGUAACGAAGCAACAUCUUGUUGAGACCAUGUCCUGUAAAUUGAUUAUUUGAUAUUUUUGAUAGUUUGGAAAAAUGUUUUACAUUGUUAUAAAUAAAAUAUAAGAAUUUGUUUGAGCUGUGAACAUGAAUUUGGCAGCUAGUGCCCCUUUAAGGGUAUAUUAUAACUAUAAAUUGUGUACUACAAAGAGCUCAUUUUAAAUGCCUCAUUUCAUUUGGGACUGUUCCAGUAGGGUUUGAAGCCUUUUUAGUUUGCCUCAACCAUGCAAAAUAUUCAAUUGAUUAUUUCAAAUAAAUUAUUUUUACUAUAAGGUGCACACAAGCUACUGUUAUGAUAUUGUAAUUAUUGUAUUUAUUUAUGUUGGCCUGAUUUGUAUUGUGUGGCCUGAUAGUUGUUUACAGAAUAAUCUUAGAACUGUGCAGUUUAGAAAUCACUGGAACAAUUACAGAAUGAUUGGAACUUUCCAUAAUGAUCCUAAUAAAAGAUGCGUUAUAUAAACUUCUACAUUUUACUAGAAACUUCUGUUGUAACUUUCUAGGAUGUUCCAUUAUAGACUGUUCUAGAAUCUUCCAUGACAACUAUAUAUAUACAGACACUAAAGUUAAACACUCACUCUUGGACUUGGACUUAGACAUCGAUAGACAUUAGCAUUCACAGCAUUUGGAUUGACACUUUUAUUCUACAAACAACAUCAUACUGGAUUGUGACCUUAGUAGUGAACGUAAUAUUCAGAUUGGAUUCCGAAAGAUAUCCAGAUACAGAUAAAGAUAAAAGAUUGGACUCAUAUUUUGACAGUUAAGUUGACAGUAAUAUUUGUGUAAUACUUCUUGUAAACUUUUGUAUAAUAAAUAUUGUUAAAUUUUAUUAUUGAUUUGUGUCUUUUGU